AACGCACAUUGCGCCCGCCAGUAUUCUGGCGGGCAUGCCUGUUCGAGCGUCAUUUCAACCAUCAAGCCCCCGGCUUGCGUUGGAGCCCUGCGGCUGCCGCAGGCUCCCAAAUACAGUGGCGGGCUCGUCGUCGUACCGAGUGCAGUAAACAUCCUCGCUCAGGGAACGCGUCGGGUUCUUGCCGUGAAACACCCCACAUAUCAAGGUUGACCUCGGAUCAGGUAGGAAUACCCGCUGAACUUAA
Molecule: unclassified non-coding RNA, 244 nt
Filed under: uncultured Ascomycota
Lineage: Eukaryota; Fungi; Ascomycota
Description: sequence contains ITS2
Rfam family: 5.8S ribosomal RNA (bases 1-52)
Source: RNAcentral